GCUUCGUCCAGGUCCAGCGCCUUCCGGUUGACCUCCAGCGUCAUGCAGCCGCGGUAGAAGGCCGUGACCGGGGCCGAGGUCAUGGGCACAUCUGGGCCGCGGGAAAAGAGCAAGCGUGUCUCAGCAGGUGAGCUGCCCGGAGCCUGUAAGCC
Cervus elaphus (red deer) is the source of this 152-nucleotide long non-coding RNA. RefSeq lists it as uncharacterized. Lineage: Eukaryota; Metazoa; Chordata; Mammalia; Artiodactyla; Cervidae. The transcript is spliced from 3 exons. The record is from RefSeq and is a predicted model, not a curated record.